CCAGCAGCCGCGGUAAUUCCAGCUCCAAUAGCAUAUACUAACGUUGUUGCAGUUGAAAAGCUCGUAGUUGAACUUUUGGUAUGGGCGACCUGGCCUUGGGCGCAUGCCCUUGUCUGCCGUGUGUCGUACCUGGCCAUCCUUUUCUGCUUCUUUUCGGGGUAGGAAUCAUUUACUGUGAGUAAACUGGAGUGCUCAAAACAAGACGUUUGUUUGGUACAUCAAAGCAUGGAAUAAUAAGAUAGGACCUGGUUACUAUUUUGUUGGUUUGCAUAGCUGGGUAAUGAUGAAGAGGGCCAGUUGGGGGUAUUCGUAUUUAAUUGUCAGAGGUGAAAUUCUUGGAUUUA
RNAcentral lists this ribosomal RNA (344 nucleotides) under uncultured eukaryote. RNAcentral's name for it is "SSU rRNA". It matches the Rfam family "Eukaryotic small subunit ribosomal RNA", at positions 567 to 928 of the family's 1831-position model. The record is from RNAcentral.